This 301-nucleotide ribosomal RNA is filed under the name uncultured bacterium. RNAcentral describes it as "partial 16S ribosomal RNA". It matches the Rfam family "Bacterial small subunit ribosomal RNA", at positions 509 to 807 of the family's 1533-position model. The record is from RNAcentral.
CAGCCGCCACGGGAAUACGUAGGUGGCAAGCGUUGUCCGGAAUUAUUGGGCGUAAAGGGCUCGCAGGCGGCUUCUUAAGUCUGAUGUGAAAGCCCCCGGCUCAACCGGGGAGGGUCAUUGGAGACUGGGAAACUUGAGUGCAGAAGAGGAGAGUGGAAUUCCACGUGUAGCGGUGAAAUGCGUAGAGAUGUGGAGGAACACCAGUGGCGAAGGCGACUCUCUGGUCUGUAACUGACGCUGAGGAGCGAAAGUGUGGGGAGCGAACAGGAUUAGAUACCCCUGUAGUCCCUGUCUCUUAUAC